Molecule: long non-coding RNA, 690 nt
Organism: Corapipo altera (White-ruffed manakin)
Lineage: Eukaryota; Metazoa; Chordata; Aves; Passeriformes; Pipridae
Exons: 2
Source: RefSeq, a predicted model, not a curated record
AUUGAUGAGUAGAAGUUGCAGGAGAGUGUGCAGAAAUCCCCCAGGGGUGUGACAGCGCUGCCCCCAGCUCGUCCUGCGAAGCGGCAGUGCUGCGUGGGGAGGGAAGCGAGCACUUCUGUGGGGUCCCACGAAGGUCCUCACCCUGCCCUGAUCCUUCAGAGCUGAAGGAUCUUGGGUCCAGACAAGUGAAAGUUUUUCAUUGGAUUCAAUCCUGUGAUCCACAUGACUCCUGAAUGCUUCUCACCCUGCCUUUCACCCCACUGGGGGUUCAGCACUACCACCAAGGAUGUGCCAACGAGGAUACUGUUGGCUGUCCUGCCAGAAACCACAUUAAUUCCUGCUAACAUAGCUUUAUGUUGUAUGUUCCAGGUGGCCAACCCACCAGAGGAAAUAGUUUUGUUUAACGAAGGUGGAGAGGCUUUGCCCUUGUGUAAUAUCAGAUACAGAGAAAAAAACAUGUGUUGAAUGUUAUCUAUGUAUGAAAAAAGGGGGUAUAGAAGGGGGAAAUAAAAUGGAAGAGGGGGGUGUAGAGAAAAGAUUAACUGACAAUCAUAGUCUGAGAAAGAGCUUGUUUGCUGAAUGUGUGUCUGAAAAUACUUGGAAAGUGGCCUGGGGCCCCAAGCUUGUGACAACAGCUGGAAUAUUCCCAGAUUUGUAUCAAUAGCUGAUUAAAUGAGAAGGGGAACUGUU